This 617-nucleotide ribosomal RNA is filed under the name uncultured fungus. RNAcentral's name for it is "eukaryotic LSU rRNA". It matches the Rfam family "Eukaryotic large subunit ribosomal RNA", at positions 24 to 664 of the family's 3401-position model. Lineage: Eukaryota; Fungi. The record is from RNAcentral.
CCCGCUGAACUUAAGCAUAUCAAUAAGCGGAGGAAAAGAAACCAACAGGGAUUGCCUUAGUAACGGCGAGUGAAGCGGCAAUUGCUCAAAUUUGAAAUCUGGUCUUAGGGCCCGAAUUGUAAUUUGCAGAGGAAGCUUCGGUGAAGGUACCGGCCCAAGUCCCCUGGAAUGGGAUGUCAUAGAGGGUGAGAACCCCGUCCGGCCGAGUACUUGAACCAUGUGUUGCUCCUUCGACGAGUCGAGUUGUUUGGGAAUGCAGCUCAAAAUGGGUGGUAAAUUCCAUCUAAGGCUAAAUAUUGGCCAGAGACCGAUAGCGCACAAGUAGAGUGAUCGAAAGAUGAAAAGCACUUUGAAAAGAGAGUUAAAAAGCACGUGAAAUUGUUGAAAGGGAAGCGCUUGCGGUCAGAACUUUACUGUGGUUGUUCAACCGGUAAUUUUUACCGGCUCACUCUUCCUCAGUAGGGUCAGCAUCGGUUCGAGCGGUCGGAUAAAGGCCUUAGGAAUGUGGCCCUUCGGGGUGUUAAAGCCUUUGGUGCAAUGCGACCCGUUUGGACCGAGGGAAGCGAUUUUCCAGGAUGCUGGCAUAAUGGUUGCAAGCGGCCCGUCUUGAAACACGG